This is a long non-coding RNA of Phlebotomus papatasi, 933 nucleotides long. RefSeq lists it as uncharacterized. NCBI's taxonomy places the organism in Eukaryota, Metazoa, Arthropoda, Insecta, Diptera, Psychodidae. The record is from RefSeq and is a predicted model, not a curated record. The transcript has 6 exons.
CCCAGCAACGAAAGAGUUUGGGGUUCCAAAAGCCGCGAUGGUGGCGGCCUCCCAAUUUAUUUGAAGCCUUGUGGUCACCAUGAAAAACUAUUUUUAGUUCUCAGCGGUGGCCAUCAAAUUGCUGUGGCGCCACUGAAUUUACCACUAAAAUUCGGGGUUUGUACUAUAGUACGUGAAGUGCAAACGUGUUUGUACAUGUCUUAUGGGAAUUUUACAUUAGGUGACACAAAAGGUUUGCAAACUGUGUUCGGGGUUCGUCCGUAGUUGAACAGUUAUGGCUGAUUUUUUCAAUCACGCUGUUGUUUCUCUUUUGCAAUCGUUUUUUCCGGGUAAUUUUGUGCAAUUCAGUGCUUUUUUUGGCUCAAUUCUGAUUCAGAUUUAAUCAGCCAGUCUGAGUAUGGAACAAUCUGAAAUGGCAGAGGUGAUCUGUGAUUCCAUUAGAUGUCUGGAGACGAAAAUUGAUGGCUUGCAACGAGAAAUGAGGGAGUUAAUUCAAAGCAACAAAGAUCUAAAGAUCGAAUGUAAUGAGUUGAAGGUGAAAGUGGAUGGUUUGAUGGCCAAACAGGGUAAAGUUAACGUGCAGCUCAACUUACUGAAUAAGUAUAUUGAAGGCGUGAAAUCUUACUUUCCCAUCGAAAACGUGGAAAAGUUGAUGGAGUUGGAGCAGAAAAUGGCUGAUAAUGAAGGAAUCAAAGCUGCUGUUGAAACACAACUUCGACGCCUUUUAAAGCCUGGCGAUAAAGAUUUCUUACCGAAAGUUGCAAAAAUUGACGUGUUUGAAGAUUUUAAUGUUACGGGAAGGGGAAAGAGAAAAAAUAUCCUGGACCUGAAUAUUUUUAAAUACAGCGCAGGUAUUUUGUUAAAAUUUUUUGAAUAUAUUUUUUUAAAAUAUAUUUUUUUAAAUUUAUUUUUUAAAUCCAUUUUAGAGACAAU